UUAAAUUAAAUAAUGUUUUUAACUUAACAUUAAAUUACCGAUUGAAUUCAGUUGGAAUGGUCGCCCGUACCCCACCAAAAAUCAACUUCUAUCUCCCUCCUAACCCAAAAACAAAACACUUAGAAGUCCCCCUCCUUUCCCCCACUACUGUUCCGCCAGCCACAUUUCCUUCUGCCACCCUUUAACACUAUUCCCCCGGUGUUACAACGAACCACCAGCAAACCACCAUUACAUUAUGUGGUGUUUAUACACACCAUUUCUCUUCUCAACUCCAUAAAAAUAAUACCAAAAGUUACUAUCUAAUAGCAACAUGAAACGGCCCAUAAAGCAGCCCACAACAAGUCGAAUAAUUCGAACUCACAGCUAAUAGAAAUGAAUUUAUCAAACUUCC
RNAcentral lists this long non-coding RNA (391 nucleotides) under Nicotiana benthamiana. RNAcentral describes it as "long non-coding RNA (NBEN_LNC038367)". The record is from RNAcentral. Lineage: Eukaryota; Viridiplantae; Streptophyta; Magnoliopsida; Solanales; Solanaceae.